GAUGAACGCUGGCGGCGUGCUUAACACAUGCAAGUCGAACGGACCAUAUUCGUAUGGUUAGUGGCAGACGGGUGCGUAACACGUGGGUGACCUGCCCUUAAGUGGGGAAUAACUCCGCUAACGCGGAGCUAAUACCGCAUAUGUUCGCUGAUUCAGUUUGGCGAGUAAAGCAGCAAUGCGCUUAGGGAGGGGCCUGCGGCGGAUUAGGUAGUUGGUGGGGUAACGGCCUACCAAGCCGAUGAUCCGUAGGGGGCGUGAGAGCGUGGCCCCCCACACUGGCACUGAGACACGGGCCAGACUCCUACGGGAGGCAGCAGUGAGGAAUAUUGCACAAUGGGCGCAAGCCUGAUGCAGCAACGCCGCGUGAGGGACGAAGGCCUUCGGGUCGUAACCUCUUUUCUGGGGACGGAGGAAGGACGUGUACCCCAGGAAUAAGUCUCGGCUAACUACGUGCCAGCAGCCGCGGUAAACGUAGCGUG
RNAcentral lists this ribosomal RNA (479 nucleotides) under uncultured bacterium. Its description in RNAcentral is "bacterial SSU rRNA". It matches the Rfam family "Bacterial small subunit ribosomal RNA", at positions 28 to 533 of the family's 1533-position model. The record is from RNAcentral.